CAAAAGGAGCAACUUCCUCGCAGCUUUGCUGAAACUGCACAAAAAAGGCAACCGGGGGGGUGGGGGGGGGGCGUUAUUUUGAUUUGAUUUUUUGCCACCGCUUUCAAAAGCGAAGCCUCCUUCCCUCCCUUUCCCCCCCCCGCCCCCUCCCCGCCUCUCUCUCUCGCUACUGGAAGAUUACAGAUCCGUGCGCGAUUAUUUUUUGAUUCCUCGUUGUCUGCUGCGCUGGCACCGUCCUGCGAGCGGCGGAGCGGCUCGGCGCCGGGCUUCCCCUGCUGACAAUUACGGAUGAAAUCCAUAUGCUGAUGGCUACCCUGUAAUGAAGGCUCAUGUGAGUAGUCUGUUGAUCUAUACCUACACUUGCUUAUGAGGUGACUUUGCCUAGUCCAGUUGAAUGAUGAUAAACUAGCAGUUAAGGUUUAUGUAUUUCUAUUUUUAUAAUAUAUUUUAAUAUAUUUAUAGUUUUCCGUUCGGUCUCCCUUUCCAUUUAAGUUCUGACAAACUGAUGUAGAGAUAAUAGAUAAACCUCUUCUUGAUUUAGACAAUCACUUAUAUUUCAUAUUGCUCUUUGAGUACGGUACAUAAAGUACUGGCUAUAAGUGUUCCAUCUAGAAUGAAGAGCCUCAAACGUGGUGUGGACAAGAACUUGACCAAAAAAACGACUUGAUAAAUGAGGCCAGUUUUCACUUCCAUCGUUAUUACAACAAGGUUUUGCACAGAAUUUUUGCCACUGUUCAGUGUUACAGCCUUUCUGCAUGCCUGUCCCCUGCCCCGAAUGCCAGUGAGUGGAAUUGACAACAGCAAAUACACAUACAGCUGGCUUUUUUUAUUAUUUGUGUUUCCAGCAGUGUUUUUAGACUACUAGAUUAGGAAGACAGAACAUUGGGGUAGACAUUAUUUUCUAGCAGGAUAAUACACUUUGUGAUUUAGGUUGCCUCAGAAAGAUAAUUUCAAGCCUUCUUUAGAAGCAGCCACGCUAAGGCAAAAAUGCACAUGGAGUAAAGUACGGCUCAGCACAGCAGUUAGUCAGAAAGCUGAAGUCUCAGUCUGCCUUCCAUGCAAGCACAAAGCAUAACAAGUCUGAGCACUAAACAUUAUUCCUCCCUUUCCACCCUGUUACUUCUCCUGCGCUCAUUACACCGUCUUGCAUCUUUCCCCUCCUUCUGUAAAGGAAGGGAAAUUUCCUCCUCUCCGUCUGAUUUCUUUCCUUUCACAUUUGCUUUUCCCUAUUCACCUGCACAUUCCCUGUAAUAGCAAAACUUGAAGGACUACGGAUCCAAUCCUGGGGGGAAACACUAAGCUUGUGCAUGCAAUCUUUUAGCACGGACCAAAGAGCGAUUACUUAGUGUUUAUAUUUCCCCCUUUUUCUGAAUAAAGUUACAAAAUCACCAGAAUAAAGUUUAGUACUGAAAAUCUGUGUAGGGAACUGUAAUCUGACAAGGUAGAAUGAGAUCACCGUUCUGUGCAGAGCUCUGCUUGUACAGAAAAACAAAAUGAUUUUUACUGAUCUGGAACCACACGAUCAUUUCUGAAUCAUUAUUUUUAUGCUUAGCUGUUAUGUGAAGUGAAUCCACCUCUCUCCUUUGGUAGUCAUUUUAAAUGAUGCACUGAAUACUUCAGCAAAUGCAAUGACUCGUAUCUUUAAAUACUUUACGAGCAUACAGCAGGAUACUUAGAAAGACAUCUUAAAAAGCUAAGAAGUUAAGACCAGUAUAUCGUACACAAAUUAAGUUCUUUUUCCCCUGUAACAGCUCCCAAGCAACAUUUAUUACCUGUGUCCAUGACAUACAUUUUUAGAUGCCAGCUCUUCUAACCAGGCAAUCUAUUUCACAAGCUUUCUAAAGCAGUGUCGUAGCCAUUACAUCAAAUGUUGUUUCACAGAUGGUUAUCAACACUUGGUGUUUCACAGAUGGGAUAGAAGACCCAACACCUGAAUUAAAAAACCCCACCAACACAGUAACGUGCAUUUAAAGAUACCCCCUUAGAAAGUGGCUCUCAAUCUGCAGACUCUUGAGGUUUUAUGAACAAUUUUUAAGUGGGCUGCAAAAUAGUAAUUGAAAAAACGAGGCAUGCUGUCAGAAGGCUGACAGUAUCAGCAGUAGCUGCACUCACCCACUGGAUUUCUUUCUUUUUAAGAAGGUCCUGGAUCACAAAGAAUUGUGAAUUAGAAGAGAUUAGGCUCUAGAAAUCCCGAACUGUUGUGCUUCUUGGUAAGACAAACAUUAUCAAAAAACUGUAUUUCACCACAUAGAAAAAAAAACCUGUCACAUUCUAACGAAUAGGGGGGAAAAAGAAUGAAAGAACUCCUCUUUGACGAGCAGAUUUCUAAUGAUGGGAUACAUCCCACUUGGAGAAGAUGCAAACGAAGAGGCGAAGCAGAGGCAUUAUUUUGCUCCCAGCGCCCACUUCUCACCUGGCUGUACCUACAUUGCAGAAUCCCAUAGAAAGAACAGUAAGAAGAGAGGCUUCCAAUGGGAGGGGUUUGAGGGGCCUUCUGUACUUGUGUGUGUAUCCUUGUUUCUGGAGUAAGCAGGAAAGUAAGGUUUCCAGUUCACAAUCAGACAAGAAGCUGGGAUUCCAGAAGACACAGGAGAGAACAGACAGGGAAAGUGUGCAGUGAGGAUGUGGCAGAGCUAUAGCCACGUUUGGGGUACUGACUUCCAGCUGACCCCAAUGCAUUUAUCCAGCUGUGACCUCUCCAGCUCCUACAGGAAUCCUGUUCUGACCUCUGCCCCUAAAUCUUUACUCCCAUACACUGAUCUUCAGUUCUACCCAUAUACCCCAUCACUGCUUCUAUACCCACAUGCCUUCCUUAUAAGCAUAUUAAUCCCUCUCUCCUAUCACCCCCAGAUGACACUGGUAAAUAAGUUUUUUUCCACACUACAGUGCUAGAAAAGCACUCUCCUCCCUUGUACGUUUCUGAUACAAGGCAAAGAUUUCCUCCUGACCUCAUACCCAGCUUAGCCCUGUGCAUGUGAACAAGACAAACCAACCAUACGCACUGUACAUAUUAGAACACUGAAAAGUGACUGCAGAAUCCUAUCAGUUAGCAAGGGGCAUUUAGUAAUAAUAAUAUAAUAACAAUAAUAUAAAAGCAUUCACAAAACUCAUUUCCUAUAUGUAUCAAAAAAACAGGAAUAAGAGAGAUGCGACAAAAAAAGGGUUACACAGAGCAUGCUGGCCUACUUUAAUUCCCUUAGAACACCGUUACUGUAACUGCUGUUGCCAGUAGUAUUUUGCUUACCUUUCAUAUAAUACGUAUGCUACAAUCUAACUUUAGGUAAGACAAUAGACUUCUUCAGGAUAAACACAUUUAUACCAUUUGAAUGAAGGUUUAUAGUUUGGCAUUUCUCCACUUCAGCACCACCGUGAUUGCUAAAAAGCUGUGCAGUAUGUUGGAAAAGAUAUAAUGUCUGCAAAUUAUUUAUGGAUGUGCUUGUGUGGUAUUUAUGACAACAGAAAGUAACCUACGCUGGGGCAACUGAAAGCAUAGCUAAUACAAAUACAUUACGAUUCUGGAAAAUUGUCAGUAUGGAUGAUAUUAAUAAUAAUAAUAGGAGGCUUGAUAGGAGGAAAAGGAAGGUUUUUACAAUGUAAAAUUACCAUCCGGGGAGCUUAUGUAAACUAAAGAGCGUGGUCAAAUAGGAGUGGAUUUUUUUAGAGUAAUAAACUGAUCCUGUGCUAAGACAUGCUAAUACUCGUAAGAAAAGUCUGCAUCUGCUAAUGUUGCUAGAAAGUCAGAUAAGCAUUCAAAGAUGUACAUAUGUUUUCAUUUGAUUAAGAUGAGAAGUCUAAUCUUUGUGCUAUGGGGACCCAAUCCUCACUUCUCAGGCCACUAAAUCCACUAUUCAUGAGCGCAGAUGGAAAGGAAGAGGAGCAAAGACUAUUAGCGGUGCUCAGGACAAGGCAACAAUUAAAAAAGCAGCCGUUCUGUUACUAGAUCCUGGGAAGGACGUGGUGGGGACAGAAGGGUUGCUGCUACCAGCUUGAUCUUCCUGGCUCCCUCUGGGAAUCUCUUGCUGCUGCUUCAGGCUGGACGUUAGGAAAUACUACUUCUCUGAAAGGGUGGUCAGGCACUGGAAUGGGCUGCCCAGAGAGGUGGUGGAGUCACCGAGCCUGGUGGUGUUCAAAGAGCGUUUGGAUGUUGUGUUGAGGGACAUGGUUUAGCGGGAACCAUUGGUGAAGGGCGGAUGGUUGGACUGGAUGAUCCUGUGGGUCUUUUCCAACCUUGGCGAUUCUAUGAUUCUAUGCUUCUCCUGCAGAGGCAUGUGGCCUAUCUAAUGUUGAAAAAGCAGGCAGUGCUCUCUGCCUUUUCAUACACAGCAGAAGAGCAGAGCCCAAAUUUCUGGAGCAAUAGAUUGCUGUCAGCCCUUAACAUUUUUCACAAAACAGCACACUCCCACCUGAUUAAACUUUUAAUUGAAGGCACUAUUUAAAGCACCAUUAGAUAUGGUUUAGCCCAAAGGCUGUUCAACUUACCAUAGCCCUGUAACCCAUUAGGGCUUAGUGGACCACAGCUUGAAAACCAUUCCUGCCACGUCAGAAAUACGAUGAUGUUCCCUGCUCCCUCCCUCCCUCCUGACCUUCUGGUUGCUGUGUUAAACGUUACUGCUCCUCUAUCUGAUUUCCCUUGAGACUGAUUUUAGGACCUGCUAUUUGCUUCUGGCUUUCUGAAGUAGCAGCAAACUGGCAAUCUCCUUCGCCCAUACAUUUGUAAACAGGAGAAGUAAGGCCAAUAUGACCAUAACAUUACUACUGCCAGACAAAGGAAUAGACAGAAGCAUAGUUUAGAUAUCAAUAAAUAUAUGUAUAUCUUUCAGGUUUAGGAAAAAGGGACCAAUUUACAUUUGAUUCAUAUUUGAAAAUUUAUCAUCAGACAACAAGGCCUACGAGCUUUUAUUUACAGAAAAGCUGUAAUUCUACACAGGUUGGGUUUUGGCCACGGCUGGUCCAGGACAAACAGAUGUGCAGUUUUGUGCCACAGAACUAUGGCAGAUGAAACUGGUAUCUUCUGCUAUCAUAAAGGUCACCUAAGAUACAGAAAACAGUGACCAAGGGCUCCUUGUUAUUCUAUUCUAAGAAAUAAAGAGUUAGAGUCUCCUAUUAAAUGCUUCCACAUAUUCGUGGUUUUAGAGAUCUUUCUCAUGUUAUGACUCCUCAGCCAGCAUUUUUCCAAAAUGAAGAAUCCUGAUUCUGUUACUGUCCCUGCACAAUAGCUGUGCCAUAUCUUCAUCAUCCGUGUCUGUUUUUUAUAUAAUUCUCAUCAGUGCUCAAAACUGACUGGUAUGCCAGCAUGACUCCUUUGUUUCAAGUACCAUAUUGCAUCAAAUCCAUCCGGAAUGAUUUCAAGAAAUCAGCAAGAGCUGCUAAAAAUCCACACAAGCAUUAGGAAAAGGCUUGAGAACCCAGGCUUUUCACAGCAGCCAGACAGCAGCCAUCAGCUUAACAAUUAAACUUCACCUCUGUGACAGGCAGGAAUGCCAGGAUCAAAGUCUGUAUUUCAAGCUCACCUAAGGCUGUGAAACCCUAAGAAAUAGGGAAGUAGAACUUCCAAGUUGCAGCUCCUGUUAGAACAGCUGCAAGUCCAUGCCUUCCUGAGCAGCAGGCCUGGCUGCAGCCUGCAGAGCUGACAGAUGAUGAGGUAAUGACCCUCUCUGCUGACAGGUCUGGUUUAACAGUGGGUCAGUCAUACCUGGCCUCUGGGACAGCCGUGGCUCCUGCAGCACCACAGCCCGUGCUGUGAGAUCCUUCUGCAACUCUUCAGGGCCAACGUCAGCUCUGACUCCAAAUGCACAGUAGCCUUUUAUCGUCUCUAAGCAUUAUCACUGCACUUUUUCAUACCAUUUAGGAACAGGUGGACCAGAAAAGGUGCCAGUACAAAUUGCUGGGAGGUGGUGUCAUUAAAGCCACCUACUAGUUGCUAUAGUCUUCUUUAUCUUGUAACCGUUUAUUAAUCCACAAGGAAUCUUACGUAUCUCAACACUUCACUGUGUUAACAUUCUUUGGUGAUAGACCUUUUUAAAAGCUUUUUGGGUGACCCAUGCCCAUGUGUCUGUUUACUGCUUCAAACAAUAAGCGAAGCCGUAAGACAAAACUACCCUGUACAGAAAGUCAAGGUGAUGGUUGCCUAUUACAGCCACACGUGUUCCUAUUAAUUAUAUUCUUUAUCACAUUCACUGGCAUUUUGCCUGCCAUGGAAGUCAGACUUAUUAGUACAUUAGUCCACGAUCGUCCCUAGAGACCUUUUUAACAUGGUCACAUUUGCUGCUUUCCAUUCCUCUGUCAUCAACACCAAUUUAAAUGAUAGAUAAUACAACACAGUUCACAGAUAACCAGUUUUAUUUCUGAAUUUCUCUGCAACUACCGAAAGAACAUCGUGCUAUCUGGCAAUCUGCUAAUGCCCAUUUAAUCAAGUUGUUCAAAAAUCUUUUAUUGAUAUUUAAAAAUUGAAAUACUUCUUAUAAAGAACAACUUUUAUAUGGGACUGUACCUAAUCUCCCUGGAAUAAACUCUGCCAAUGCAAGGGUUUGUCCAUAUGUUUCUUUCUGUAGUGGCUUUGCCUUUAAAUAUUCUGUCUCUGGAACUCGGUGUCCUGCUAGCAGAAUUAACUGAAAAGUUUACACUUAUAGAUUUUUCUUUUUGCUUUUAUGAUUUUAGCCUAUUGCUCCUCAAAAUCUUUUUGUCCCUCCUUAGAAUAGGUCUACAUUUAACUUCCCAGAACUGUGCUCUUCUCCUCUUUGCUUGUUUGGAUUUCACUUUUUGAAAAACAUCUAUUUGUUCCUCGUAACUUCCCUUACUGCUCAGUUGUCAUGAAUUCUUAUUCACUUGGGUCAGAAUUAGAAAACAAACACUCUGUGUCUCUCUUAGCCUCUUACAAUUUUUACUUGAACGAUUUCUUCAUUUGUAUGCAGUUCUUUUUUACAGUUAAACAAUACUGGAUUGUUUAUUUAUUUUUAUCUUUUUCUCUCAUGCAAAUACGACAAACUUCAGUUUGAUGUGAUGUACCACUACCAAAUGUCUUUCCUAUAGUUACUCUGUCAACCAAAUCCUGGUUACUAAUCUAAACGAACUCAAGAGCUGUCCUCGUUCUACUGGAUUCUCUGGAUAGUUUGCUCAAAAGUUAGUUCUUGAUGGUAGUUAAAAACACAGCUUAUGCAUGAUGCCCUAAUGUUAAGCUUAUCCAGACCAUAGUUUGAAAACUGAAAACUCUUGUUACUAUCGAGCUUCUCAGUUGUAUAGCCUCUCUGGCCUCCUGCUGUAUUUCACGGUCACUGUGUCCACUCUGUCAGCUCAUUCAGAGCUCUUGCCAGGCUUCUCCUGCUCAGAUAUGGAACCACUUGUAAUUAUAUUUUAUGGUUUAGUCUGAUAAAUUUAACUUAUUUGACUAGUUAGCAUAUAGAGACCAACAGACCAAUCUAUCAUUUCUCUAUCAGCAAGGCACUAACAUUUCAUCAUCUCUGUUAUCAUCUAAACGCUGAUAUUUUGGUGUCACUUUGAAAGAAGGAAAAGGGGCACAUGCAGACCCACUUCCAGAAAGAGAGCAACAUACCUGAGGAAUUCCUGUUGCGAUUCACGCUUACCACUCUUCUGAAGAAUCAUUAUCUUCAAGGUACCAGGGAAACAGAGCAGUAUCAGGUAGCAAUGUACCUUGAUACCGAAUCAAAACUAGUGCAGGUUCCUUCUCAACAGAGAACCAAGUGGCAUUUGACAAGGACUGACCAACAGAAUGGCCUGUGGUUAUUCAAGAUUUCUGUACCAAGAGAUGCUGUGUCAGGAAGGGAAGGCACUAAGUAGCAGAAUGACACUAUGGAAGUAUAUGAAGUCCUUUAAUCUCUUGUAUACACUGAGGAUUCAUAAUACUCACAUUAACUUCCUCUGAGGAGGGAGAGUCUGCUGUUACUGCUGUGGAGAAGAUAAAGAGGGGUGCUUUCUGGACACAAUGCCAGUAGCUAUUGACUUGGGUUCGACAGCUGAGAAGACUUCUGGGGUGCUAGCAUUUUCUGUGUUGGCUGAAACUCACUUCUCUCCCUUUUGUGAGGCCCCUAUUUUUGUGAGCACCUUAUUUCUGCAUUAAGUAUGAUGCGAGUCAGGGCUCAGCAGAAUCCAGAGGCUACACUGCAGUAUCCAACAAGUGUUCAUUAUUAUUUAUUUGCAUUACCACAAAUCCUAGAAGGCUACACCCUGGACCACUUCUCGUUAUGCUGGGCCAUGAAUAAGCAUACAACAAAAAGUCCACAUGAAUUCUACGUGAAGAGACAACAGAGAUUACUGCAGAGUACAAAGGCAAUGACAAAGUAUUACUGUGACAAGCAUCGGUAUUAGUAUACUUGUACAACAUACUUAUUUUCUAGUUGGAUUGUCAUAAGCUUCACAGUACAUAAAACUUUCAAGAAGAUAUUAAAGGGAGACAGCAAACAGUUCUGUUUAAGAAGGAGUCAACUACUACACGAGAGGCAGCUGAGGAGAAAGUAUCCAGUGUGAAAAUAUAACAACUGAAUGAUGGAAGCUGGCAUCAUAUGUUGAUCAAAAUCAGAGUCAACCUCUUGAUACUGAAGGAAAGGUAUCAGGUAGAAGUAGUCUUGAUGGGCCUUGAAAACAAAGACAGAUAGCUUAUCUUUAUUGCUUUCAAUUGAAGGAGGAAGUUUAAAAAGCCAAAGGAGUAAAUCUGGAAACUGAUAUUUACAGCAGCACUUGGAACGCAUAAUGACAAGACUACAUUUGUCAAGGCAAAAGAAGAAGAUUUUCUAAUAACGAUAUGAUCCAUGGAAAACCUGGAUGAAAAAUACAAGCAACCAACAGAGAAGAAAGAGCAUCCCUGAAGGAUUGGAAAAAGAUUUCCAAAAACUAAGAUUUAGCCUAGGUUUGAUGACUUAAAGCAAACAACAGCAUGAUGGUGUCAUUCACCGAGGAUGCAGAGAGGUUUUGUGAGGACCCCAACCAAAAAUAUGAAAAAAUUGCUAACAAAAGUUGUAACUGGAAAUAAAGAACUGAGGACAACGCUGAAGAAAAUUUUCAUGCAUUAGAUCUGCUUAGGAGUAAAAAAGAAGAUGGGAGGAGGUAUAUGAAGUGACACAUAAAACACUGUUCUUCCUGUACUAUGAAAUAAGAAAAUUCUUUCACGCCACAUUUAUUACUGGGUUAUUACAGCUACCUGAGCUACCAUGUUUUGACUUUCAAGGACUGAAGAAGAAGAAUGUUCAUGAGAAUGUAAUUUGAUGGGUGCCUCAUUCAGCAAACAAAAACAUGCUACAUCCAGCUCAAAGACAGGACAUUGGUGAUACAAGCCAAGCGCAAACAGCAGUGGAGAAAAAGAUCUUACAGCUUAAAGUUAAAACAACUAACAUGCUGAACAUUCAGGCACAUUCCUUUCCUCUUCCUCCUUAUUGUACAGAACCAAGGCUAUCAUUUCAGCUUGCCACUGAAGGAAAAUUACUCUCCUUUGCUCUAGUUUGGUAUUUCCAGCCCUUGAAGUAUUCCCAAACCUACAUAAAGUGUGCCCAUGUAGCAAAUGCCCACACCCUAAAUUCCACAAACAUCAACAAGAUCUCUUCGUGUCUGCUUUCUUGCUGUUUCCUAGUUUUAGUCAUUUACAACAGCACAGAAUGGGUUGAACUAAAGGAACAAGCAGAUCAGGUGCUCAACCACACGGGUUAGCAGCCGUGAGUACUGGAGACAUACAGCAGGAGACAAUUCAGAGUUCCUUUUCUUCCAAACAGUGUUUUGUAGCAGCAUUACCUCAGGCAGAAUAGAGCUGUGCCCCUACAUUCUUUCUCUCAAAGCACAGGGAAGUUGCUCUCUCAGGAAGGAGAUGCAGUCAGAUGUGUAUGAGCUGCCCUCCGUAGAGAUGACUGAAAAACUUGGAGACAUAUGAAACAUCCAGGGGCCUCCUCAUACCCCACUAAUAUAUCACCUUGCUUCUUUAUCUCUUCUGAAACCAGAUCUUUUCUGAGGCACUUUUUUUUUUCAAUCUGGUGUGGAGAGGGAACAUAGGAGGCUGGGUUUGGUUGCUGUGCAAUCACCUGAUCUCUCUCUCCUUUUCUUUCCUUUGCACAACUUAGGGGAAGUAAGAAUAAAUAUGGCAUAUAGAACUAAAAGAUGAAAACAGUCAACUAUUAGAACUGUGCUUUUUAAACAAACAAACAAAAAAAAUAUCAUUCAAGAUUUUAGAUGCAAAGUGAAAUAUUCAGUGUUCUCAUUAUUCAGGAGAAACAUUCAAUGUUCUCAAACUAUGGUUUCAUCUCAUAUUAAAAAAUAACUCCAUUUCAUUUUUGUGUUCAGAAAUUAUAAAAGAAGCACCGUAACAUCCCGUAACCAAAAUAAUCCCAUUGGGUUUUGAGCUCUCUUUGAGAUGUUCAAAUUUAAAAUAGUUAAGUUAUGAGUUUGAACAAGAAACUCUUUCUUCUGCUUAGCACUAGCCACAUUUUAGCAUAUGUAGACCAUCGACCUCUGUUCUUAGUUGCAGUUGUCAUCUCAAAUACUCUGUUUAUACAGGUAAUUCACAGUCACUAACUCUCCAAAGCCCACACGACCCCUCCAAAAAAACUGCAGAGAACUGUAGAGAAAGACAUUUCCUGGAAGUUUUAAAUUAAAUAGAUAGGUAAAUCAACCAGAUAUUUGAUGAAAUGAAAGGUACCAGUAGCUACACAUUCAGUUCUCCUUCUGGGCAUAUUUUUGCCAUAUAUUCUUCUGUUUAGUUCCUUGUUUCUUUUUGAGUUUUAUUUUGUUUGUUUGUUCAUUUGUUUGUUAAUUGGACUCUCAAGUCUGCUUUUGAUCUGGUUAUGAUCUCUUCUUUGGUCUUGCUCUUUCUUCAAAUUCAUUUAAUGUUACUUUUGUGCCAAGCAAAAAAAUAAUUCUACAAUCUCUUUUUCUUUACUCCCCAAUCACUGUCUGCAUCUUUGCUCUACAUGAAGGAAUAUCUAAUUGGCCAUGCCUACAAAUCCUCUACAGCUUCACACUUCCUUAAUAAUUACUCACAGAUUCAAUACCAAUUCUAGUUCUUCCAUCUUCCAGAUACAAGAUUGCCUUCAGAACAUUUUUGUACUUGAACACCAGAAAGGAAAUACACCAUCAUAAAAAAAAGGGCAUGGAGUUUAUAAAGCCAUUAGCGUUACACAGGUAAAACACCUACACAUAAUUUUUGCUCUCUUGGAUAUAAAAAUAGGAAUCAUAGCAAUGCCUGUACCCAUAGAUACAAGCAAAAAACUUCCUCUUCAAUACAAGUAUAUUUAUAGUUAUUUUGGGUGAAUCCACUGACAAAGGGUAUGGAUAAUUAUUACCGAUUAAGCACAGGGUACUUAGUUAAAAUAAAAUAUACAGUUCUUGCCUAAGAAGCCUAUAAUUAAUCAGCAUGUGUGAUCAAAUUGCCACUCAUAACGUCAGAUCAGUUUAGUUUAAUUUAACCAAGUUACUUUGACAUGAGCAUAAGUAUAUAUUUAUUAACAUUUCAACGUUCAACUCAGCAAGACAAUUAUGUUAGUAAAUCUGCUUGCAGUAGCUACACAAAUAUUGGAGGCAUAAACGGUUUUUAUAGAUCUAUAAAUUUGGAAAAUUUUAUGGGUGAAGAUAGAGAGCAGCUCAGAAACACACUCUUCUGAAAGCAAAGGAAAUAAACAAAUGAAAACUCCCUACCUAACAGCAGUGCUGAAGGACUCCGGGUUCACGUGGUGAAUUAUCCAAGAAUAAUGAUAUCCUUAAUGGAUAUAUUGUAUGGAUUUUCUAAAAAGAACCGGAGUCACACAUAAAUCACACCUCUUGAUUAACCCUUUUAUCAUUAUUAGUCUGUCAACAUCAGCAAAGACUAACUAUUGAAAAAUUCAAUCAUUUCAGUGUACUUACAGCUGAAUUUUCUCAUCAUGUGACCAACUAUCCACAAAGCCUCAGUGCCAUUAAGAAGUUUUGAGGAAUAUAUUAUUUGGUACUGCCAAAAAAACAUAAUUAAAAGAACGCAUGUAAAUUAUAUUUAUUUUCUAAUUCAAAACUUUUUUUUUAAUGAUUAUUUCACGUCUAAAGUACAUUUGGGGGAAAGGCAGAACUUACAUUAUCCCAAAAGGCAGGUUCCAGCACAACCCAUGAUACACUGACAGAAUUCACAGUAAGAAGGCACAGUAGGGUCACACAAACAGAACCCCGCACUACUGCAGAAUCUCCUUAAUUUCAAUAGGGCCCUACCCACAUAUAAUCAGUUACAGAGUCCGCCUAUGUGGGAGUAACAACAGUGAGCACGGGACCCGUUCCUCCACACACCUGCAAAAAUAUUGGGAUAAAAAAAAAGAAAUUAAAAUUAGUAACAUGCAGCAAAACCCUCUGAUAGCCCAUUUUAUUACAGCGUUUAGCACAUAAUAAAGGAGUUCCAUACAUCUUUAAGUUGCACGUUAUUUAUAGGAAUUCUUAGUUCCUUUUUUUACAGAAUGUUGACUUCAAAUUGCUUACAGGCCUUACAUGUAACAGCAGCACGUUAUGGGAACUUUUACCAAUAUGCAUUUGAAGUAGAAAUUUAGAUGUAUUUUUAAUUAUUACUUUAUAAAAAGCCAUUAUCAUAGUUGCUUCUUAGUGUUUAAGUCUGCUUCAAAUCAGCAUAAAGUUUGGAGAGACAGCAUAGGUCAGUGAAUUUCUGAGGUCUUUAUGAUCACGAUCCCCGAGCACAGGAGGGACAUGGAGCUCUUGGAGCAGGUCCAGAGGAGGGCCACUAAGAUGAUCAGAGGGCUGGAGCACCUCUCCUAUGAGAAAAGGUUGAGGGAACUGGGAUUGUUUAGCUUGGAGAAGGCUCCGGGGAGACCUCACUGUGGCCUUCCAAUACCUGAUGGGAGCAUAUAAACAGGAGGAGGAAUGGCUGUUUACAAGGGUGGAUAGUUCUAGGACAAGGGGGAAUGGUUUUAAACUGAGACAGGGGAGGUUUAGGUUAGAUAUUAGGAGAAAGUUUUUCGCACAGAGGGUGGUGACGCACUGGAACAGGCUGCCCAAGGAGGUUGUGGAUGCCCCAUCCCUGGAGGCAUUCAAGGCCAGGCUGGAUGUGGCUCGGGGCAGCCUGGUCUGGUGGUUGGUGACCCUGCACAUAGCAGGGGGGUUGAAACUAGAUGACCAUUGUGGUCCUUUUCAACCCAGGCCAUUCUGUGAUUCUAUGAAAGCAUCUGGCCACAUACAGCAGCAUCGAAGACUAAAGUAUUUGAAAACACAUGAUAAACAGUAGUCAAUUUUAGACUAAAAGUGAUCUUUUUUAAACAAAAAAUCCUUACAAAAAUCAACUGCAAUCAUUUCCUAAAUUUAAGCUCCUCCAGAAAACUAUUUAGAAUGCAGGAAGUACAAAUGUAAUGUUAAACAAAUAUAUACCACCUCUUUGCCAUUCACACAAAACUUAACAUUUAUGAUUUGACCUCACUGUUCUUAUUAAAAAUACAUCUAUGUUGAUCUUUAAAAGGCAUUUUAUUUUCAGUUACAACGCUUUUCUAUAUCAUAAAACAUUUACAAACACAUUAACCAUGGGUUCCAUGAAAUAAUAUUUAACUGGUGACACUGUGCAAGAGCACUGAUGAUAAAGGAUAUAAGAACUAGAUCCUAGAAACAUGCAGAAGACAUUUCUUUAUUCCUUUAAUUUAGAUACCAUUAAAGAAACAACAAUAUUUAAAACAAACAAGCAAAAGCUACGAACAAAUUAAAGGAUCUGACAAUCUAACAGAAGAAUCAGGAGUUCCAUAAGGAUGGAAUGCAGUCUUUUUUAAUUCUCUACUUUUGGUUUUAUUUUUGAGCAACAAGUUGUUCUCUUACUGGCUGUGAUUUUGUCAAACAACAGACUUGUAAACAAACAGAAAAUGGAGAAGAGCACCACAGUUUUUUGUUCCUUGCCAGGCUUAAAGCUUUCAACUGGGCAGGAGGACAAGCAAAAAUUUGAAAUCCACAUUUCAGACAUUACAACAAAUUUCAAGGCAGUUGUCUUAGAAGUUACUGAAUUUGAAGUGUUUCUUCGCCUUUUAUUCCCUUUAAAACUUUUGGUUUAUAUACAUGACUUAUAAUGACAAAUUCAACUCCUCUUUCUCAAGAUCGGUGCUCCAGCUGUAAGUUCUGUUCAAAAAGUGUCUUAAGAUAUAGAAUUAUUGAAUCAUAGAAUGGUUUGUGUUGGAAGGGACCUUUAAGGUCACCUAGUUCCAACCCCUUGCUCUAGGCAGGGACACCUCCCUCUAGACCAGGUUGCUCAAAGCCCCAUCCAGUCUGGCCUUGAAUGCUUCUCCCAUCUACUGUUACACAGAAAAUUUAAAAAUAUCAGACCUACCAGUCACAUUAGCCUGCAAGUGUGAACCAGCACCUGAGCCUACCUGAGUGAACCAGUACCUCUGGCAAGUAUAAUGUACCCAUUUCUUACUGACUGAGAAUGAGCAGACUAUACUUUUUGGGACAGUCAGUUCUCUAGGAGCCCAAGACCAUAAAGCUAGGGAAAUAUGGCAUUAUCAAAGAUGCAAUGCAACGUGGUAACUUAUGCAGCCAGAUCCUAAUACUGCUUUCUGCCCCUCUGCCUAGCUCCACAUCUUUCUCCAAUAAGGAAGUUAACUGGAAUACAAUGCACUGCUCCGAGAGUGCAGACUGGAGGAGAGGUCAGGGACACAUAGCUGCAGUCCAAAUGACAGUCAGUUUCUGAGAAGAGCGGAAAACACACUGUUACAAAUGUGACAGCCUAUGGAAUAUCUCAGAGCUGACAUUCAAGCCAUCAAAGAAAUGAAAUAGCGAAACUGCCUCAACAAUUCCCUUCUCUGACAAGGAUAGGAAAAACAUGCAUCUAACGUAGGUAUAGACCACCAUAAAGUUGAAGGGUACAUGAUUGGUUUGGGAGACUGGAAGGCUCUUGCAAAAACAAGGGUUUUUUUCAUGACCAGCAAAGUUACAAAGUCUAGUUAUUUACUAAUGUGCUUGCACAUGCCCCAAAAUACUUGUGCAGCAAUCCCAGGCUGACGUUACCCUGGCUGGAUUCCCACUCCCUUCUAAAUAAUUUCCCUAAAUUCCUUCACAAAACACCACCUUCUCACUACUGGGAGCAACUCACAUUGUGACCAUCAGACCAACCAAGGAUGCUAAUCUGCAAGGCAGCAGGUUGAAUGGAAUAGAAAACUUCCAAGUCCAUGCUGAAGCUUUUUCUGUCCUGGAGGCACAAAUUCGAGUCAUUUUUCUAAUCUCAUCUGCCAGGUUUCAUUGAAACUGUAGAAACUUGACCUUGCGACCUCUAUCUCUGUAUCAAAUGCAGCUCAAAUGAAGCAGUGGAUUCAGAAGUUACUAGGAGAAAACUCAUUCCUAUAUAUCUUGUUUUAUUCAGAAAGUGGGCAUGAAAACACAGUUGUAUAAUCACUGUGAAAGUAACUGAAUUUCAUGUCAUUUACUGUUUUCAUUCAGGAGUCACACCACAAACUCAGCUAUAACACAACACAGGUUUUUACAGGGUGAGAGCGUAAAAGAAUCCAGAGAAUAGAGACCAUUUCCAUGAAACUGCCUUUGUUCUGUCCCUGUGCAAAGGACCUUAAAUAGAUGUCAAUUCAUAAAGGUGAAAAUUUAACAGAGAUAAAAUUUUAUACACGUGUUUUGAACUUACCAAGAAUGCAGCGAACUGCCCUUCAGGUAGAUCCAUGCUUCUCUUCCAAUUCCGUGUUGUAUCUCCCAAAGCAUUUGACGAGUCCUCUUCAGUGUAAGGCCAAAGUUCGUGGGUGCUGUGGAGAAGAUCACUUGGCAACUGCUCUGCUUGACAGCCGGCGGCGCUCCCUGUCCCUCCGUCCCCUCGCUCCGUCCCUCAGCACCGCGCCCGCCGGGUGACAUUUCC
RNAcentral lists this long non-coding RNA (15793 nucleotides) under Gallus gallus (chicken). The record is from RNAcentral. Lineage: Eukaryota; Metazoa; Chordata; Aves; Galliformes; Phasianidae.